AUGUAGGCCAUGUGAGAGCUUCAUCUUAGGCCCUGAAUUUAGCUCCACCUUGACCUCUUCAGAGAAUGCAGCUUCACUUCUCUCAGUUGUUCCACAAGUACAUAUUAAGUACCUACUGUGUGUCACAUGUGGACCUGAUUCAUGAAAUUUGCUGAGGGUCAAUGAGACCAAGUCCUUCAACUCAUGGAUGCACUUAGCAGGAACAAAGAGCAUGGCUUUAGGGUCAGGAAAACCUCAGCUGAAAUCCCAGCUCUACCCUUUGCUUGUUAGGAGACCCUUUCUGAGCCUCAGUUUCCCCAUCUUUCAAGUGGGGGUAAGAAUGCGACCUUGCAGGACUGUUGAGAAGAUCUGGAAAGAAAAGCAAUGGAUGAGGCCUUACUCUGAGAUCACUUCCUUCCUCUCAUGGGGCCCCAGGCCACUGUCUCCUACAAUCCAGCAGAAAGUACCUGCCAACCAUCACAGAAUGCCCUGAGGUUCAGGCCCCUGGCAUGCCCUUCAAUGCUCUAAUGACUAAGGACUUGAACAGUAGGAGGCUCACUCAAAGCUUCCCAGCCAGGCAUGAAGGGACUAGCCUAUGCCCACUUUGGGCAUACAGCAAAAACCGUCCUGUCUAUAUAGUAGGCAUAACCAACGUAGAGGCCUAUGCAGGCCAGGCAGGAGCCAAGAAUGUGCAAGCAGGCUGGGUGGGGAAUGUGGUCAAAUGGUGUUCCUGCUCCACUCCCAGUGGCAGCAGGCAGGCAGCACCAGCCAAUGGGCAUCAUGAAGAGAUGUGGACUCCGAGGUGCCAGACCUUGUGAUUUUUCAAGAGAAGAUGGAAAUCCGGACUUUUAUGUAAAACCUGCCAAUUUGUAAAUGCUGGCAACUAAUUACAUUUUCAAAAAUAAUAAUAACAUGGUAAGAGCCAAACAAAACAUGCAAGGCCAGCCACAACCAGAGCUGGCAGGUUUGCACCAAAGAAACAAGAUUCCUUGACUUCAUUUAUCCCCUGCCCACUCCCUGAUCACACAGCUUUGGACACAGGAGAGAAGGGAUCAGUGAGGACAACAGUUCCCAGACCCUCCCUUCCUUCUGGUGGAGAUCGUCACCCUCAAUUUGCAUGUGAGGCCCAGAGACCCAAUUAUUCAGCCACAAACACCAGCCAGUGCCAGGACCAUCCACUGAGGCUCGCUUAUUCAAGGGCUCUAGAUGAUAACCAGCACCCAAAUCUUUUUUCUUUUCUGGACUGUCAUGGUCACAUCUGCUGGCUCAGACCAGCUUUGGACCAGUCCAAGUGGCUGUCACAAGUAAAGUGUCAGUAAAGAAGGGAGGGAAGGCACCCCUCCUUAGGAGAGGUGGGAGGGAGAGAAGGUGAGGCGGCGAUGAGGAGUGGGGAGGCUGGCAGAGUCAGGCACACCCCUGCAGACUAAGCCCCUUCCCUGUGCUCCCCACAGCCACCCAGACCCAACCUUAAGGAAGCCUCAUCCAAGAGCCUUCCCCUACCCUGAAACCUACCUCACUCGGGAUAGCCCCAGCACUGUGCCCAUGGAGGCGGGACGUGUGAAGAAACGCCUGGGACCAUCAAGUUGUUAGCGUAUGUGACUGUGUGCAAGAUUCACGGGACUGUUUGUGAUACCAGCCGCCUGUGACCACUGUGUGACCUCAACCAAAGCCUUGACCUCUCUGAGCCCAGCUGCCUCAUCUCUUGAAAAGGUUAACAUUGAUGGGGAGACAUAGAGAACUCCAUGUCAUGCCCUCAGCACAGGACCCUGCAAAAUGCUCCUGACAUUCUCAGAAUAUGGGUUCAGUCUUAGCUCCGUAUUCCUGAUGUCCAUUCACUCUGAACCCUGUUGGAACAUGGCCUCAGCAUCUGUCCAUCCACCCACCCAUCCACACAGUUGCAAGUUGGAUGGCCCUUCAGAAAGCUCAGUGCAUCUUCCAGCUGAAGAGUGUUUCAAGGGCACGUCAUGGAAGCCACCGGUCUCUGCAAGCCCCAGCUUGAGCAGCCAGCCACUCACCCACUUAUAACUGCCAUACUUCCCUCUACCUGGCCCUGCUACCAACACUGAGGGACUGAGGAUAGCUGCCUUUCACCUCUGGGUCCUGUCUCAUCUGGACAUUGGUGCUGACACCUUCUUCUCCUAGGAUUGCUGGAGGGAGGGAUUCAACAUCUCAAGAACACACAGCGGUUUGGUCCAAUCAAGAAGAGCCUUUAUGGUUCUCUACAAACAGAAGCUCAACAGUGACAAGCCG
This is a long non-coding RNA of Pteropus alecto (black flying fox), 2229 nucleotides long. RefSeq lists it as uncharacterized. The transcript has 5 exons. The record is from RefSeq and is a predicted model, not a curated record. Lineage: Eukaryota; Metazoa; Chordata; Mammalia; Chiroptera; Pteropodidae.